UACGGAGGGUGCGAGCGUUGUCCGGAAUCACUGGGCGUAAAGGGCUCGUAGGCGGUUUGUCGCGUCGGGAGUGAAAACACCGGGCUUAACUCGGUGCUUGCUUUCGAUACGGGGCAGGACUUAGAGGGUAUUCAGGGGGAGAACGGGAAUUCCUGGUGUAGCGGUGAAAUGCGCAGACUAUCAGGAGGAACACCGGUGGCGAAGGCGGUUCUCUGGGAAGUAUCCUGACGGCUGGAGGAGCGAAAGUGUGGGGACGCGAACGG
This 263-nucleotide ribosomal RNA is filed under the name uncultured bacterium. RNAcentral's name for it is "partial 16S ribosomal RNA". It matches the Rfam family "Bacterial small subunit ribosomal RNA", at positions 524 to 775 of the family's 1533-position model. The record is from RNAcentral.